Molecule: long non-coding RNA, 1123 nt
Organism: Gallus gallus (chicken)
Lineage: Eukaryota; Metazoa; Chordata; Aves; Galliformes; Phasianidae
Exons: 3
Source: RefSeq, a predicted model, not a curated record
AUAAAAAUAGCAGGGCCUGGAUUAGAAACUGGCUGGCAGAUGAGGAACAGAGCUUCACUGUUGCUUCAGGUUGCCUGGUGUCACCAUAAAGAUUCUGUACAGUGUUGGCAUGAGUCGGCUAAGCUGGGGCAGAUUGACACAGAAGGCACAAGGCUGAUGUGGAGAAGCACAGUGAGAAACACCAGCUCUUUUGGGUGACUGGCUGAUGUCUUGAUCAAGAGAGGGAACACACAGACAAAAUAGGCUUUCACUGAGCUCUGCUCCUUGCAGCCCAACAAAGCUGGAAAACAUGCCACACGAAGGGAGGUGCACAGAAGGGUUUGCUUUUCUGCCUUGUUAGAUGGCAAGUUUGUGCUCGUCAUACCAGGAGGAGCAGUAUCCGUGGUUCUCACAUAAUUCACGGGAAAAGGACAACCGUCCUCCCUGCCCUGCACCCCCACCCCAGUUUAAAAUGUCUUUUGACAGGAUCUUUUUUUGGCCAAAGGUAGUUUCCUGGAUGAACUGGCACCUCCUACCUCCAGUGAUGUUCCUAGUGGACAACCAAAUAUAGAGGACCACCACAACUGCCAAGCAAUUGCCCUUUGGGAUCCAGGCCCAGGAGAUGGCUCCUUCAAACACAGAAGACAGCUUCUAGCAGGCACUGGGGGUGGAGACACAUCGUGACUGAGGUGCAGUGUUUGAGGGAGAGGCUGAGCUGGAAUUAGAAGCCCCUGUGUCCCGAGCAGGAUCUGGUAUGUCCCCUGAGCAUCGCCACCUACAAAUCAUCGAUACAGUCUUUAAAUAGGCAUAAUGAAAAGCCUCCCUGAAACCGGCCGCACAGAAUUCCUGCAGACAUUUUGUUCUUUCUCUGGUUACAAACCAUGGGUGUGUAGGGCUGUUCCAGCAGCUGCAUGCAAGGCUUCGGACGUAGCAACAGCUACAGAGUGGCUGUGAGAACGACUCCUCUUGUACGCAAUCAUACAUCAGCACGCCCUGCGGUGCUAUAAAAAGAGCCUGCACAGAGACCACAGCGCUCUUUGUCGACUGAAGACAGAGCUGGAACAGCAUCGCCAUCCUUGUAUCAGAGAGGGAACUGCAGGGGCAACGCGUCCCUCUUUGCUCACCUUGAUGACACGAUGAGGUU